RNAcentral lists this ribosomal RNA (397 nucleotides) under uncultured bacterium. RNAcentral describes it as "bacterial SSU rRNA". It matches the Rfam family "Bacterial small subunit ribosomal RNA", at positions 362 to 776 of the family's 1533-position model. The record is from RNAcentral.
UAUUGCACAAUGGGGGAAACUCUGAUGCAGCGACGCCGCGUGCGUGAGGACGUAUUUCGGUAUGUAAAGCUCUAUCAGCAGGGAAGAAAAUGACGGUAACUGACUAAGAAGCCCCGGCUAACUACGUCCCAGCAGCCGCGGUAAUACGUAGGGGGCAAGCGUUAUCCGGAUUUACUGGGUGUAAAGGGAGCGUAGACGGCUGUGCAAGCCAGAGGUGAAAGCCCGGGGCUCAACCCCGGGACUGCAUUUGGAACUGUGUGGCUGGAGUGUCGGAGAGGCAGGCGGAAUUCCUAGUGUAGCGGUGAAAUGCGUAGAUAUUAGGAGGAACACCAGUGGCGAAGGCGGCCUGCUGGACGAUGACUGACGUUGAGGCUCGAAAGCGUGGGGAGCAAACAGG